RNAcentral lists this non-coding RNA (161 nucleotides) under human gut metagenome. The record is from RNAcentral.
ACUUUUACAGGUGCUUAAUAUAUUUAAGAGAAUAGGGAAACAGGUGUAAAUCCUGUGCGGGACCGCCGCCGUAACAGCAAGUCGCAUUAUUCACUUUGGUUACACAAGGGAAGGAUAAUAAAGGACGCUUGAGCUGUAAGCCGGAAGACCUGCCUGUAAUA